GGGCUUGUGGUCUAGUGGUAUGAUUUUCCCUUAGCAUUUAGCGUCUCGGAUACGAGAUUCGGCGUGGGAAAGGUCCUGGGUUCAAUUCCCAGCAAGUCCA
Molecule: transfer RNA, 100 nt
Filed under: Corynespora cassiicola Philippines
Lineage: Eukaryota; Fungi; Ascomycota; Dothideomycetes; Pleosporales; Corynesporascaceae
Rfam family: tRNA
About the family: Transfer RNA (tRNA) molecules are approximately 80 nucleotides in length.
Source: Rfam by way of RNAcentral